Molecule: ribosomal RNA, 643 nt
Filed under: uncultured Actinomycetales bacterium
Lineage: Bacteria; Bacillati; Actinomycetota; Actinomycetes; Actinomycetales
Description: bacterial SSU rRNA
Rfam family: Bacterial small subunit ribosomal RNA
Source: RNAcentral
GCUUGCAGGGUACUCGAGUGGCGAACGGGUGAGUAACACGUGGGUGAUCUGCCCUGCACUUCGGGAUAAGCUUGGGAAACUGGGUCUAAUACCGGAUAGGAGCCAUCUUUAGUGUGGUGGUUGGAAAGUUUUUUCGGUGUAGGAUGAGCUCGCGGCCUAUCAGCUUGUUGGUGGGGUAAUGGCCUACCAAGGCGGCGACGGGUAGCCGGCCUGAGAGGGUGUACGGCCACAUUGGGACUGAGAUACGGCCCAGACUCCUACGGGAGGCAGCAGUGGGGAAUAUUGCACAAUGGGCGCAAGCCUGAUGCAGCGACGCCGCGUGGGGGAUGAAGGCCUUCGGGUUGUAAACUCCUUUCGCUAGGGACGAAGCUUUGUGUGACGGUACCUAGAUAAGAAGCACCGGCUAACUACGUGCCAGCAGCCGCGGUAAUACGUAGGGUGCGAGCGUUGUCCGGAAUUACUGGGCGUAAAGAGCUCGUAGGUGGUUUGUCGCGUCGUCUGUGAAAUUCUGGGGCUUAGCUCCGGGCGUGCAGGCGAUACGGGCAUAACUUGAGUGCUGUAGGGGUAACUGGAAUUCCUGGUGUAGCGGUGAAAUGCGCAGAUAUCAGGAGGAACACCGAUGGCGAAGGUAGGUUACUGGGCA